RNAcentral lists this ribosomal RNA (170 nucleotides) under uncultured bacterium. RNAcentral describes it as "partial 16S rRNA". It matches the Rfam family "Bacterial small subunit ribosomal RNA", at positions 355 to 517 of the family's 1533-position model. The record is from RNAcentral.
UAGGGAAUCUUCCACAAUGGGCGAAAGCCUGAUGGAGCAACGCCGCGUGUGUGAUGAAGGGUUUCGGCUCGUAAAACACUGUUGUAAGAGAAGAAUGACAUUGAGAGUAACUGUUCAAUGUGUGACGGUAUCUUACCAGAAAGGAGCGGCUAAAUACGUGCCAGCAGCCG